AGAGUUUGAUUUUGGCUCAGGAUGAACGCUGGCGGCGUGCUUAACACAUGCAAGUCGAGCGAAGCGAUUUGACGGAAGUUUUCGGAUGGAAGUCAGAUUGACUGAGCGGCGGACGGGUGAGUAACGCGUGGGUAACCUGCCUCAUACAGGGGGAUAACAGUUAGAAAUGACUGCUAAUACCGCAUAAGCGCACAGUAUCGCAUGGUACGGUGUGAAAAACUCCGGUGGUAUGAGAUGGACCCGCGUCUGAUUAGCUAGUUGGUGGGGUAACGGCCUACCAAGGCGACGAUCAGUAGCCGACCUGAGAGGGUGACCGGCCACACUGGGACUGAGACACGGCCCAGACUCCUACGGGAGGCAGCAGUAGGGAAUUUUCGGCAAUGGGGGAAACCCUGACCGAGCAACGCCGCGUGAAGGAAGAAGGUUUUCGGAUUGUAAACUUCUGUUAUAAAGGAAGAACGGCGGCUACAGGAAAUGGUAGCCGAGUGACGGUACUUUAUUAGAAAGCCACGGCUAACUACGUGCCAGCAGCCGCGGUAAUACGUAGGUGGCAAGCGUUAUCCGGAAUUAUUGGGCGUAAAGAGGGAGCAGGCGGCAGCAAGGGUCUGUGGUGAAAGCCUGAAGCUUAACUUCAGUAAGCCAUAGAAACCAGGCAGCUAGAGUGCAGGAGAGGAUCGUGGAAUUCCAUGUGUAGCGGUGAAAUGCGUAGAUAUAUGGAGGAACACCAGUGGCGAAGGCGACGAUCUGGCCUGCAACUGACGCUCAGUCCCGAAAGCGUGGGGAGCAAAUAGGAUUAGAUACCCUAGUAGUCCACGCCGUAA
RNAcentral lists this ribosomal RNA (821 nucleotides) under uncultured bacterium. Its description in RNAcentral is "bacterial SSU rRNA". It matches the Rfam family "Bacterial small subunit ribosomal RNA", at positions 8 to 805 of the family's 1533-position model. The record is from RNAcentral.